Molecule: ribosomal RNA, 650 nt
Filed under: uncultured bacterium
Lineage: Bacteria
Description: bacterial SSU rRNA
Rfam family: Bacterial small subunit ribosomal RNA
Source: RNAcentral
AGUGGCGAACGGGUGAGUAACACGUGAGUAACCUGCCCUUGACUCUGGGAUAACCUCCGGAAACGGAAGCUAAUACCGGAUAUGACGCACGGAGGCAUCUCCUGUGCGUGGAAAGAACUUCGGUCAAGGAUGGACUCGCGGCCUAUCAGGUAGUUGGUGAGGUAACGGCUCACCAAGCCUACGACGGGUAGCCGGCCUGAGAGGGUGACCGGCCACACUGGGACUGAGACACGGCCCAGACUCCUACGGGAGGCAGCAGUGGGGAAUAUUGCACAAUGGGCGCAAGCCUGAUGCAGCAACGCCGCGUGAGGGAUGACGGCCUUCGGGUUGUAAACCUCUUUUAGUAGGGAAGAAGCGAAAGUGACGGUACCUGCAGAAAAAGCACCGGCUAACUUUUUUGUCAGCAGCCGCGGUAAUACGUAGGGUGCGAGCGUUGUCCGGAAUUAUUGGGCGUAAAGAGCUCGUAGGCGGUCUGUCGCGUCUGCUGUGAAAACCCGAGGCUCAACCUCGGGCCUGCAGUGGGUACGGGCAGACUAGAGUGCGGUAGGGGAGAAUGGAAUUCCUGGUGUAGCGGUGGAAUGCGCAGAUAUCAGGAGGAACACCGAUGGCGAAGGCAGUUCUCUGGGCCGUAACUGACGCUGAGGAGCGAA